RNAcentral lists this transfer RNA (75 nucleotides) under Cordylochernes scorpioides. RNAcentral describes it as "tRNA-Thr". It matches the Rfam family "tRNA". Rfam says of the family: Transfer RNA (tRNA) molecules are approximately 80 nucleotides in length. The record is from RNAcentral. Lineage: Eukaryota; Metazoa; Arthropoda; Arachnida; Pseudoscorpiones; Chernetidae.
ACCUAGGGUAGCCUAGUGGACAUGGCAUCUGCCCGGUAAGCGGAACACUGUGGGUUCGGUUCCCAUCCCUGGACA